UACGUAGGUGGCAAGCGUUGUUCGGAAUUAUUGGGCGUAAAGGGCGCGUAGGCGGCUUGUUAAGUCAGUUGUGAAAGCCCGGGGCUCAACCCCGGAGGGUCGACUGAUACUGGUGAGCUGGAGUACAGAAGAGGUAGCUGGAAUUCCCGGUGUAGCGGUGAAAUGCGUAGAUAUCUGGAGGAAUACCGGUGGCGAAGGCGGCAUCCUGGACCGGCAUUGACGCUGAACAGCGAAAGCUAGGGGAGCAAACGGG
Molecule: ribosomal RNA, 253 nt
Filed under: uncultured bacterium
Lineage: Bacteria
Description: partial 16S ribosomal RNA
Rfam family: Bacterial small subunit ribosomal RNA
Source: RNAcentral